AUUAUGUCGAAGACAGCAACGUCUGCUCCAGCUUCCGCGAGGCCCUCAGCAAAGGAUAGACCGCAGCCUCGUGCACCACCUGUUACCAGAGCCGUACGACCUUUAAGGGAGAACUGGAUUAAUUAUUUUGAAUUACAUUAGUUAGGCAUGGUAGUGUCUUUACGGAUGAGGUGGCACGGCUGGUGAAGGGGAAUUCAGGAAAUUGGUGGGGUCUUACUCUAGACAUAAUUGAGGUGGUUGAAGCAGAAACGGCAGCGGAAGAACAGCGAUUGUAUAAGAUUAAGGUGCAAACAGGUGUGGUUUUUGCUGUCUGUUGUCCGGCACAGUGAUAACUACUAAGUUACUAGUAUCCAGAAGUAUUCAAAGACCGGGAAGCUAGCUGCCCCUCGUCGUGCCGUCAUCAA
Molecule: small RNA, 404 nt
Filed under: Histoplasma capsulatum
Lineage: Eukaryota; Fungi; Ascomycota; Eurotiomycetes; Onygenales; Ajellomycetaceae
Also listed under: 1 other name
Description: hypothetical RNA
Source: RNAcentral